Molecule: ribosomal RNA, 778 nt
Filed under: uncultured eukaryote
Lineage: Eukaryota
Description: bacterial SSU rRNA
Rfam family: Eukaryotic small subunit ribosomal RNA
Source: RNAcentral
GGACCUCAGGGUUUUGGGGUAGGAGGGCCUCGAGAGCAAGACCUUUUAGGGGUUGGACUUUACCUUUUUUAUAAACUUAUUAAUUCUUUACGUGCUCUUCACUGAGAUGCGUAACAGGACUUGGGACUUUUACUUUGAAAAAAUUAGAGUGUUCAAAGCAGGCAUUUUCGCUUGAAUACAUUAGCAUGGAAUAAUGGAAUAGGACUUUGGUCUUAUUUUGUUGGUUUCUAGGACCGAAGUAAUGAUUAAUAGGGACAGUUGGGGGCAUUAGUAUUUAAUUGUCAGAGGUGAAAUUCUUGGAUUUAUGAAAGACUAACUUCUGCGAAAGUUUGCCAAGGAUGUUUUCAUUAAUCAAGAACGAAAGUUAGGGGAUCGAAGACGAUCAGAUACCGUCGUAGUCCUAACCAUAAACUAUGCCGACUAGGGUCAGUGAGUUUAUUCAAAGACCUCAUUGGCACCUUAUGAGAAAUCAAGUUUUUGGGUUCUGGGGGGUGUAUGGUCGCAAGGUGAAACUUUAAAGGAAUUGACGGAGGGCACACCAGGAGUGGAGCCUGCGGUUAAAUUGACUCAAACCGGGGAACUUACCAGGGCAAGACAUAAGUGGGAUUGACAGAUUGAGAGUCUUUCUUGAUUCUAUGGGUGGUGGUGCAUGGGCCGUUCCUUAGUGGUGGAGUGAUUUGCCUGGUUAAUUCCCGUUAACGAACGAGACCUUAACCUGGCUAAAUAGUUGGCUUGGGAAAAACGGGUCUAACUUCUUAGAGGGACUAUGCGUUCCAAC